CCCCCCACCCCCCAUCUGAAAAAUCAGCCAGGAAAAUCGGGAAAAAAUUGCGACUCUGACCAGUCAUACAGCAAACGGCAAAGUGACAGUAAACAACGGAGGUACAACUACUUCUCUGCGUCUUCCUCUUUUUUGCCCUGCACAACUUUUCACCUGCAGUGCCCAUACUCGUCUCGGCUCCUUUAUCCCCCUUUUUGCGGAGUUUCAGAGAAAAGAUACAACUCCCCUUUCCUUUUACUGUUGAUAUCGAAAAGGAGCAAUCAAAAAUUCAAAAUUCAAUGGAUUUUCCCCCAAAAUCACCCCAACUUUCUUUACAGAUAGUUCUCUAUAUUCGAGACAAGGAGAAAGGCGAGAAAAGAAUCGUUGUUUUCAAGCCCGUUGAUGUCCCAAUUGCUGCCCAGAGAAAGGUAAAUGCUCCUCUCUCGAUAACAUCAUUUUGUCUCUUUUCCUAGUUCAAUGUGAUGUUUUCAAUGUCGGAAAGUCUUUAUUCUAUGGGUGUUUGUCGUUAGAUGCUACUCGAUUGGUGAUAAUAAUGUGAUACAUGUGUUCUUGAGCGAUGUUGUGGCUCAGUCUAACUAUCAGACUACAACUUUUACCAUUUUGCAGUUAGUAUUAUUGCUUCUAUAUUAUUUUGCUUGCUUAGAUCUGUUGCGCUAUUUAUCUGCUUAUCUGGAUGUGGUGAAAUCUCUGUCAUUAUGAGGUUUGUGUUAAUUUCCUUCAUAUGUGUUUUAUCCUCUCUUGAAUCUUGUGUUAGUAUUCUGUUGAUCAUUAGUGGGUUGCUUAACUCCCAGAGGCAUACUAAAAUAUGAUGGGAUCUCAUAGUGCGUUAUUGCAUUAAAUCAUCACUGUCUAUUGUUGAUACAUUAUAAGUACUCAUUACCCAUCAAGUUGCAAAGUAUUUGAAUUCUUGUUUUUACACUAAAAUUAGGAGUUGCCUUUCUUUUUUCUUUAUCAUAAAUGAUCCUAUAUGUCAUGUGAAUUUUGUUAUUGUAUAUGUGAUUGUCUGAUUGAUUAUGUCACAUGUUUUCCAUUUAAAUUUAUAUGUUAGGUAAAAAAAUCACUAUUAUCUUACCUAUUUGUGAUGCACAUAACUUUCAUCUUUAGUAAGUCUUGAUAGGUUGCUAACAUAUAAGUAUUAGUUUGAUGUUGCAAAGAGUUUUGCCUCUUUUUCUUUAUUUAUUUUUUCUCUUUCAUUUUCAUAUGUUCAUGAUGAGUUUGGGGUUGAUGUUUUGAGUUCAUCAUCUCAUGUUAAUUUACUCAUCCUUGCUUCAUUUGUGGUUAUUUUAUUCAAUUCUCCUUUAAUUACAAGUUUGAUUGCCCAUUAAUUUAGAAGCUUUUCUGGUAGUUUGUUGAUUUCUAAAAGAUGAAUUGUGAAUAUUAAGAGUCAUAUUUAGAUACACUAAAAAUGAUAGUUUUCCACUAUAGCUUUCAUGUCUUUGUGCCAUUUUGUUUAGCAACCAAUUCAUUUAGUUCACUGUUGACUUCUCUUUACAUCAUUUAGUUAAUAUUAUAUAUUUUCAUCUAGUCAAAAGGUUUUCUACAAUGACCUAUCCAAUUCUUAAAUAAUUGUCGCAAUUACAUCUCCUUUUGGAUACAAUAUUAACACCUUUUGUCUAGAAGCAUAUUAGUUUGAAAUUAUGUUCUUAUUUCAUAGAAUAAUGUGUUUAUCUUCAUCAUAAGUUAAUUAUUUGAUCAUGCGUUCGUUGGGGGCUCUUAUCUUUUUUUCUAAUUCUUUUCUUUUACGUACUCUGUGUGUAUGUGAAUCUCUUUCGAGUCCAUUGUGGACUUAUCUACCUUGCAAUUCUGAGUGGAGCCAUAAAGGCUCGAUCUCUGUCUUCCCUAUUUCUCGAGUCAACCCUUUAUGUAUUUCGAAGUUGUAAUAGGCCCUAGAGACCAACAUGCUAUUGGAAAUAAUUCAAAAGCCCAAGAAAUGAGUUGUAUACAUAAUAUAUACAAUAUGUAUACAGUGAUCAAUAGGUUCAGGACAACAUAUAUGUUGACAAAAACGAAGAUACAGGUUAGAGGCAUUAUAACAGACUGUAUACAGUUGAUAUACGGUUUGAUAUACAGGAAAAAGGCUUAGAAACGACCUGUAUAUAUCAGUAUACACUUGUUGUAUACAAAGGUUUUCAAAGGUUGAAAUAGGGCCAGAACCCAAAUUAGCAGCCUGAAAAGCCCAAGUCCAUAUUACCUCUUCAUUUAUUUGAUUGCAUUUAUUUAUUUGUUCUUUUACCCUUUAUUUGCUUCAUAAUAAUUUAAUCGAAUUUCCCAAAAAAAAAA
This is a long non-coding RNA of Solanum pennellii, 2280 nucleotides long. RefSeq lists it as uncharacterized. NCBI's taxonomy places the organism in Eukaryota, Viridiplantae, Streptophyta, Magnoliopsida, Solanales, Solanaceae. The record is from RefSeq and is a predicted model, not a curated record. The transcript has 2 exons.